UACGUAGGGACCAAGCGUUGUUCGGAUUUACUGGGCGUAAAGGGCGCGUAGGCGGCAAUUCAAGUCAGCUGUGGAAUCUCCGGGCUUAACUCGGAACGGUCAGCUGAUACUGCUUUGCUAGAGUGCAGAAGGGGCAAUCGGAAUUCUUGGUGUAGCGGUGAAAUGCGUAGAUAUCAAGAGGAACACCUGAGGUGAAGACGGGUUGCUGGGCUGACACUGACGCUGAGGCGCGAAAGCUAGGGUAGCAAACGGG
This 253-nucleotide ribosomal RNA is filed under the name uncultured bacterium. RNAcentral describes it as "partial 16S ribosomal RNA". It matches the Rfam family "Bacterial small subunit ribosomal RNA", at positions 524 to 776 of the family's 1533-position model. The record is from RNAcentral.